This 100-nucleotide microRNA precursor is filed under the name Nasonia vitripennis (jewel wasp). RNAcentral describes it as "microRNA nvi-mir-929 precursor". Its record names the gene nvi-mir-929. The stretch from base 8 to 84 matches the Rfam family "mir-929 microRNA precursor family". The record is from miRBase by way of RNAcentral. Lineage: Eukaryota; Metazoa; Arthropoda; Insecta; Hymenoptera; Pteromalidae.
ACUUAACUGGGGUCAAAUUGACUCUAGUAGGGAGUCCCUGCAUUCAAUAUGGCGACUUCCUAACAGAGUCAGGCUGACUCCUUUUAAGACGCUCACCGAC